Molecule: non-coding RNA, 812 nt
Organism: Peromyscus maniculatus bairdii (prairie deer mouse)
Lineage: Eukaryota; Metazoa; Chordata; Mammalia; Rodentia; Cricetidae
Source: RefSeq, a predicted model, not a curated record
UAUUAACUACAGGGUGGUUACAAAUCUGUUUUAGCUAAUAUUUCUUUAAAUGAGACCUUCGGUAAAAAGAAAUAUGGAUGCUAUUGGCUUAAAGCUUUGAGUCUACUGGAUUUGGGAUCUUGAGGCUGUAAGCCUCUAAAUUAAUGUGCAAGCAAAAUAAUUUAAGCCUCCCCUAAAAUAAAACCCCACAAAAUCAGAACUACGAGCAUCCCUUGAAGAAGGGAGUCGUGUCUUAGCAUGGACUAAACAGUCUCUUUGGACGUGCAGGGGUAUGUUUGGAAGGGGUCGCUGUGUGUAACUCCUGGAUGUAGAGCAGAGAACAAGCCUGAAGGCCUGGGGAACCUACUCCAGAGCUCUGACCACCAACUGCAGUGAAGAAACCAUCCAGGAAGCAUUUAUGCUGCCCUUUCGGAAGUGUUAGCUGUCCUUCCAUUCAGCCAAGCCAGACAUAACUCAUGAUGUCAAGCAGUUUCACUGCAAAGACCUUGACUGAAGGAGAAUAGGUGAGCAUUGUCUCAGGAGAGCCGUGAGUAGUGACGCUUGUGGACUGAAUUGUGCACCCCCUGAUGGUGAUGGCUACUUUUGUCUGUCCAGUUGAAAUGUCUGGGAUGAGGGAACUCCAGAUGAGGAAUUGCUUCCAUCAGAUUCUCCUAUUACAUGGGGUUGUUUUUUUUUUUUUUGAUUGCUGACUGAUGGAGGAGAACCACACCCACUGUGGCACCUUGGGGCAGAUGGGCCUGGGUUGCAUUAGAGAGCAAGCCGAGGGGAGCAAGCCAGUAAGCAGCGUUCCUCUAUGCUUUCUGCAUCGGUUC